This 66-nucleotide transfer RNA is filed under the name Carrhotus xanthogramma. Its description in RNAcentral is "tRNA-Leu". The record is from RNAcentral. Lineage: Eukaryota; Metazoa; Arthropoda; Arachnida; Araneae; Salticidae.
UAUAUAUUGGCAGAUAAAUGCAUUAGAAUUAGAAUCUAAUGAAACUUUUAUUACUUUCAUAAUUAA